This 264-nucleotide non-coding RNA is filed under the name Sporosarcina psychrophila. RNAcentral describes it as "T-box sequence". It matches the Rfam family "T-box leader". Rfam says of the family: Uncharged tRNA acts as the effector for transcription antitermination of genes in the T-box leader family. Lineage: Bacteria; Bacillati; Bacillota; Bacilli; Caryophanales; Caryophanaceae. The record is from RNAcentral.
UAAAAAGCUGUGAAAAGAAGAGUAAACACACUUACUAUCUACAGAGACCUCUGGUAGCUGAAAAAGAGGAAUAGGAAAUGUGUUGAAACAAGCCUUGGAGCUGUGCAUUGGAUUUGUUUGUUUUGAACAAUGAUGAUGAACGUAUUCUCACGUUAACGAGAUAGAGUAUCGCAGGUGAUUUAUUCACAAAGCAGUACUCGAUUAGGCUUCUACAGAAAUGUGGAGGUGAACUGGGGUGGCACCGCGACACGACUCGCCCCCAAG